CGUAGGGUGCGAGCGUUAAUCGGAAUUACUGGGCGUAAAGCGUGCGCAGGCGGUUUGUUGUGUCGGCGGUGAAAGCCCCGGGCUCAACCUGGGAAUGGCCGUUGAAACUGGCGAACUGGAGUGUGGCAGAGGGGGGUGGAAUUCCGCGUGUAGCAGUGAAAUGCGUAGAGAUGCGGAGGAACACCGAUGGCGAAGGCAGCCCCCUGGGCUGACACUGACGCUCAGGCACGAAAGCGUGGGGAGCAAACAGG
RNAcentral lists this ribosomal RNA (251 nucleotides) under uncultured bacterium. RNAcentral describes it as "partial 16S ribosomal RNA". It matches the Rfam family "Bacterial small subunit ribosomal RNA", at positions 526 to 776 of the family's 1533-position model. The record is from RNAcentral.